This 505-nucleotide ribosomal RNA is filed under the name uncultured bacterium. RNAcentral describes it as "partial 16S ribosomal RNA". It matches the Rfam family "Bacterial small subunit ribosomal RNA", at positions 28 to 507 of the family's 1533-position model. The record is from RNAcentral.
GACGAACGCUGGCGGCGUGCCUAAUACAUGCAAGUGGGACGCAAGGAAACACACUGUGCUUGCACACCGUGUUUUCUUGAGUCGCGAACGGGUGAGUAACGCGUAGGUAACCUGCCUAUUAGCGGGGGAUAACUAUUGGAAACGAUAGCUAAUACCGCAUAAUAUUAAUUAUUGCAUGAUAAUUGAUUGAAAGAUGCAAGCGCAUCACUAGUAGAUGGACCUGCGUUGUAUUAGCUAGUUGGUAAGGUAAGAGCUUACCAAGGCGACGAUACAUAGCCGACCUGGGAGGGUGAUCGGCCCCACUGGGACUGGGACACGGCCCAGACUCCUAAGGGAGGCAGCAGUAGGGAAACUUCGGCAAUGGACGAAAGGCUGACCGAGCAACGCCGCGUGAGUGAAGAAGGUUUUCGGAUCGUAAAGCUCUGUUGUAAGUCAAGAACGUGUGUGAGAGUGGAAAGUUCACACAGUGACGGUAGCUUACCAGAAAGGGACGGCUAACUACGUG